Molecule: ribosomal RNA, 310 nt
Filed under: uncultured bacterium
Lineage: Bacteria
Description: partial 16S ribosomal RNA
Rfam family: Bacterial small subunit ribosomal RNA
Source: RNAcentral
AAGAGACAGCAGUAGCCGCGGUAAUACAGAGGGUGCGAGCGUUAAUCGGAUUUACUGGGCGUAAAGCGUGCGUAGGCGGCUUCUUAAGUCGGAUGUGAAAUCCCUGAGCUUAACUUAGGAAUUGCAUUCGAUACUGGGAAGCUAGAGUAUGGGAGAGGAUGGUAGAAUUCCAGGUGUAGCGGUGAAAUGCGUAGAGAUCUGGAGGAAUACCGAUGGCGAAGGCAGCCAUCUGGCCUAAUACUGACGCUGAGGUACGAAAGCAUGGGGAGCAAACAGGAUUAGAGACCCCGGUAGUCCCUGUCUCUUAUAC